GACGAACGCUGGCGGCGUGCUUAACACAUGCAAGUCGAACGGAAAGGCCCUGCUUUUGUGGGGUGCUCGAGUGGCGAACGGGUGAGUAACACGUGAGUAACCUGCCCUUGACUUUGGGAUAACUUCAGGAAACUGGGGUUAAUACCGGAUAGGAGCUCCUGCUGCAUGGUGGGGGUUGGAAAGUUUCGGCGGGUGGGGAUGGACUCGCGGCUUAUCAGCUUGUUGGUGGGGUAGUGGCUUACCCAGGCUUUGACGGGUAGCCGGCCUGAGAGGGUGACCGGCCACAUUGGGACUGAGAUACGGCCCAGACUCCUACGGGAGGCAGCAGUGGGGAAUAUUGCACAAUGGGCGGAAGCCUGAUGCAGCAACGCCGCGUGCGGGAUGACGGCCUUCGGGUUGUAAACCGCUUUCGCCUGUGACGAAGCGUGAGUGACGGUAAUGGGUAAAGAAGCACCGGCUAACUACGUG
RNAcentral lists this ribosomal RNA (468 nucleotides) under uncultured bacterium. RNAcentral describes it as "partial 16S ribosomal RNA". It matches the Rfam family "Bacterial small subunit ribosomal RNA", at positions 28 to 507 of the family's 1533-position model. The record is from RNAcentral.